UUAACUCAAAUUUGUAUGCAAUUGGAACAGCGCCCCUAGCGGCAAACGUAAGCAAACGUUCCAACUCCAUACAAAUUUGAGUUA
Molecule: microRNA precursor, 84 nt
Filed under: Bombyx mori (domestic silkworm)
Lineage: Eukaryota; Metazoa; Arthropoda; Insecta; Lepidoptera; Bombycidae
Description: mir-2807 microRNA precursor family
Rfam family: mir-2807 microRNA precursor family
Source: Rfam by way of RNAcentral